Molecule: long non-coding RNA, 663 nt
Filed under: Mytilus galloprovincialis (Mediterranean mussel)
Lineage: Eukaryota; Metazoa; Mollusca; Bivalvia; Mytilida; Mytilidae
Source: RNAcentral
CAAGUAUUCAGUACUAUUCUUUUUAUUAAAUGGAACACAUCAUAUCUAAUUAAAACGCAGGCUAAUUUUUAACUAUUUUUUAAAUCGUAGAGGACCAAGAAAAAAGGGGGAGAGUAAUUUCAAAAAGUCAUGAUUUUGAAUGAAAAGAAGCAUACGUACUAAUUUUCUUGAUAAAAUGGUAUAUAUUUUUUUACAUUGAAACAUAGCGCAUAAAGUAACUAAAGGCUGUUGAAAAAACAUUUAAAGGUGAGACACAAAAACAUAGAAUCCACGACAAACCCAAACAUAAGCAACCAGAAAUGCACGAUUCUGUCAUGUAUUUAUACAUCACAUUCAUGAAAUAACUCUCAUAUUAAAACACACAAAAAUGUCAGGGUUUCUAGAUCUUUAUUUUUUAAAAUUGUUUUCAACAACCGAAUCACCACAUUUUAAGGUCACUCAGAAGGUCAAUCCAUAGAAUCAUCAUCAGUUUGGUGACCUGCAUCUACCGAAUUAUCAUUAUCAUCAUUUACAUCAUCUUCGUCGUCAUCGUUAGCAAUAUCAACGAUUUGGUAAUCCUUAUAUCUACAAGCUUUCCAGCAUUAACAUACAGCUAUCUGUUCAACACAGUGUUGAACACAUGAACAUCUUUUGUUGGCACAACAAGCUUUACAUGAACAGCAC